GUGGGGAAUCUUGCGCAAUGGGCGAAAGCCUGACGCAGCCAUGCCGCGUGAAUGAUGAAGGUCUUAGGAUUGUAAAAUUCUUUCACCGGGGACGAUAAUGACGGUACCCGGAGAAGAAGCCCCGGCUAACUUCGUGCCAGCAGCCGCGGUAAUACGAAGGGGGCUAGCGUUGCUCGGAAUUACUGGGCGUAAAGGGCGCGUAGGCGGACAGUUUAGUCAGAGGUGAAAGCCCAGGGCUCAACCGUGGAAUUGCCUUUGAUACUGGCUGUCUUGAGUACGGGAGAGGUGAGUGGAACUCCGAGUGUAGAGGUGAAAUUCGUAGAUAUUCGGAAGAACACCAGUGGCGAAGGCGACUCACUGGCCCGUUACUGACGCUGAGGCGCGAAAGCGUGGGGAGCAAACAGGAUUAGAAACCCGUGUAGUCC
RNAcentral lists this ribosomal RNA (425 nucleotides) under uncultured bacterium. RNAcentral's name for it is "partial 16S ribosomal RNA". It matches the Rfam family "Bacterial small subunit ribosomal RNA", at positions 354 to 796 of the family's 1533-position model. The record is from RNAcentral.